GAACGGUAGCACAGAGAGCUUGCUCUCGGGUGACGAGUGGCGGACGGGUGAGUAAUGUCUGGGAAACUGCCCGAUGGAGGGGGAUAACUACUGGAAACGGUAGCUAAUACCGCAUAACGUCGCAAGACCAAAGUGGGGGACCUUCGGGCCUCACACCAUCGGAUGUGCCCAGAUGGGAUUAGCUAGUAGGUGGGGUAAUGGCCCACCUAGGCGACGAUCCCUAGCUGGUCUGAGAGGAUGACCAGCCACACUGGAACUGAGACACGGUCCAGACUCCUACGGGAGGCAGCAGUGGGGAAUAUUGCACAAUGGGCGCAAGCCUGAUGCAGCCAUGCCGCGUGUAUGAAGAAGGCCUUCGGGUUGUAAAGUACUUUCAGCGGGGAGGAAGGCGGUGGAGUUAAUAGCUUCACCGAUUGACGUUACCCGCAGAAGAAGCACCGGCUAACUCCGUG
RNAcentral lists this ribosomal RNA (452 nucleotides) under uncultured bacterium. RNAcentral's name for it is "bacterial SSU rRNA". It matches the Rfam family "Bacterial small subunit ribosomal RNA", at positions 64 to 507 of the family's 1533-position model. The record is from RNAcentral.